This 460-nucleotide ribosomal RNA is filed under the name Salmonella enterica subsp. enterica serovar Paratyphi B. Its description in RNAcentral is "bacterial LSU rRNA". It matches the Rfam family "Bacterial large subunit ribosomal RNA", at positions 1 to 491 of the family's 2925-position model. Lineage: Bacteria; Pseudomonadati; Pseudomonadota; Gammaproteobacteria; Enterobacterales; Enterobacteriaceae. The record is from RNAcentral.
GGGUUGUGAGGUUAAGCGACUAAGCGUACACGGUGGAUGCCCUGGCAGUCAGAGGCGAUGAAGGACGUGCUAAUCUGCGAUAAGCGUCGGUAAGGUGAUAUGAACCGUUAUAACCGGCGAUUUCCGAAUGGGGAAACCCAGUGUGAUUCGUCACACUAUCAUUACGUGAAUACAUAGCGUAAUGAAGCGAACCGGGGGAACUGAAACAUCUAAGUACCCCGAGGAAAAGAAAUCAACCGAGAUUCCCCCAGUAGCGGCGAGCGAACGGGGAGGAGCCCAGAGCCUGAAUCAGCAUGUGUGUUAGUGGAAGCGUCUGGAAAGUCGCGCGAUACAGGGUGACAGCCCCGUACACAAAAGCGCAUGUGCUGUGAGCUCGAUGAGUAGGGCGGGACACGUGGUAUCCUGUCUGAAUAUGGGGGGACCAUCCUCCAAGGCUAAAUACUCCUGACUGACCGAUAGU